CCGAACAAAAGCACACGAACACACACAAAGCAAUAGCCAGGACAAGAGUCUAGUGAGAGAUGGAUUUUUCGCUCCCGCAUGAAGAACAAGAAACGCAGCUACUAAGCCACUCCCAUAACCGUGGCGGCAUCUCUAACCUCGCUGCUGUCAAUGUUAGAGAAUUAGAAACGGGUCCUCUGUACGUUGGUUGUGCUCAACAACUCUGGCCGUGCAUUAGUUCUCACCGGGAAAGGGAGAGUUGACCUGGAUCCCAAGGGAAAGUAUGGUGUCUUAACUUGCCUGUCCACCCUUGAAAGUAUCAAAGUCGCCCGUCUUGGCCUCGUCGGUCAACAGGUUCUUCUGGCCUCAAACUAUCCUAAAAUGCCUGAUAUUCAGGCCUGCUUUGCGGUAGAUCCAAUAUGGAGCGGUGUCUCUAAAGGAACUAGUGACCUCUAAUCCUCCGGUGCGGCAACUUCUGCCACGACGGGUCAGCAUCCCAGAGGCCUUCCUCCUCCACUCCAGAACCUGAUUUGGGCACCGGAGCUGCGAAAUUGGCCAAAUCAUCUUUCUCCUUUCUCCUCUGCCACCGUCCUGCAUUUAGCACUGGAGGAUACGACACCGGAGCAACUGCAGAGUGGAUCGAACGUCGGUGAUGCACAGUGGAAUGGAUCGAACGCUCGGUGAGGCCAAGGAGACGGCGGAGUGGAUCGAACGCCGGAAUCUGGGCAAGAACUCAACGUCGCGCCAAGGUGAAGAUCGGGGAGUGGAUCGACGCCGGAGAUGCGCAGCACCGGCGGGUUGGUCCUCGACACCGGAGUCUGGAAGAGAGAGGUAGGCUGCGUGGGUCGAGCGCCGGAGCCGGAAACGGCCUGGCUCGUGCGUCGGAGCCAGAGGUCAGUAGGAAGUGGGGAAUGAAGGAGAGAGAGAGAUCGGGACCAGAGAGAGAUUGAUAUUGAGUGGCAGUGGUUGUAGUUAUUUAAUUGAGUUGAGGGUAAAAUGGUCAUUUUGUGUUAAAUUGUGUGUGUGGGAACAAAAAUCUGUUGCUGGGGUAAGUGGGAUAACUUUUUGUUAUUUUGG
Molecule: long non-coding RNA, 1056 nt
Organism: Rosa rugosa (rugosa rose)
Lineage: Eukaryota; Viridiplantae; Streptophyta; Magnoliopsida; Rosales; Rosaceae
Exons: 4
Source: RefSeq, a predicted model, not a curated record